CCUACGGGAGGCAGCAGUGGGGAAUAUUGGACAAUGGGCGAAAGCCUGAUCCAGCAAUGCCGCGUGAGUGAUGAAGGCCUUAGGGUUGUAAAGCUCUUUUACCAGGGAUGAUAAUGACAGUACCUGGAGAAUAAGCUCCGGCUAACUCCGUGCCAGCAGCCGCGGUAAUACGGAGGGAGCUAGCGUUGUUCGGAAUUACUGGGCGUAAAGCGUACGUAGGCGGUUAUUCAAGUCAGAGGUGAAAGCCCGGGGCUCAACCCCGGAACUGCCUUUGAAACUAGAUAGCUAGAAUCUUGGAGAGGUUAGUGGAAUUCCGAGUGUAGAGGUGAAAUUCGUAGAUAUUCGGAAGAACACCAGUGGCGAAGGCGACUAACUGGACAAGUAUUGACGCUGAGGUACGAAAGCGUGGGGAGCAAACAGGAUUAGAUACCCUGGUAGUCCACGCCGUAAACGAUGAUAACUAGUUGUUCGGGCACUUGGUGCCUGAGUGACGCAGCUAACGCAUUAAGUUAUCCGCCUGGGGAUACGGUCGCAAGNUUAAAACUCAAAGGAAUUGACGGCUGAGAGUUGCGAGACGACGACGAGGAGAGG
This 591-nucleotide ribosomal RNA is filed under the name uncultured bacterium. Its description in RNAcentral is "bacterial SSU rRNA". It matches the Rfam family "Bacterial small subunit ribosomal RNA", at positions 338 to 961 of the family's 1533-position model. The record is from RNAcentral.